This 403-nucleotide ribosomal RNA is filed under the name Neveritis misella. RNAcentral's name for it is "partial 16S ribosomal RNA". It matches the Rfam family "Bacterial large subunit ribosomal RNA", at positions 1808 to 2583 of the family's 2925-position model. The record is from RNAcentral. Lineage: Eukaryota; Metazoa; Mollusca; Gastropoda; Stylommatophora; Camaenidae.
CAAAAACAUAGCUUAGUGUAAAUAUACUAGGUGAUUUCUGCUCAAUGAAAAAUUAAAUAGCCGCGGUACCCUGACCGUGCAAAGGUAGCGUAAUCAUUUGUCUUUUAAUUAAAGUCUAGUAUGAAGGAAUAUACGAAGGGGUAGCUAUAUUUAACAAUAUUACAAGAAAUUACUUAUUAAGUGAAAAUACUUAAAUAUUAAACAAUAGACGAGAAGACCCUAGAAAUUUAUAAUAUAAAUUUUGUUGGGGCAACAUAGUAACAAGUUAACUUACUUAAAUCUCAAGACGUAUUACGGAUUGAAGAAAUUACUCUAGGGAUAACAGCAUAAUACUUAAGUGUUUGUGACCUCGAUGUUGGAUUAGGGAGUUGUAGCUAAGAAAGUUAACAAAACGCUCUGUUCG